This 253-nucleotide ribosomal RNA is filed under the name uncultured bacterium. Its description in RNAcentral is "partial 16S ribosomal RNA". It matches the Rfam family "Bacterial small subunit ribosomal RNA", at positions 524 to 776 of the family's 1533-position model. The record is from RNAcentral.
UACGGGGGGGGCAAGCGUUGUUCGGAAUUACUGGGCGUAAAGGGCUCGUAGGCGGCCAACUAAGUCAGACGUGAAAUCCCUAGGCUCAACCUAGGAACUGCGUCUGAUACUGGAUGGCUUGAAUCCGGGAGAGGGAUGCAGAAUUCCAGGUGUAGCGGUGAAAUGCUUAGAUAUCGUCAAGAACACCGAUAGUGUAGACAGCUUACUAGACUUCAACUGACGCUGAGGCACGAAAGUGUGGGGAUCAAACAGG